Arachis duranensis is the source of this 109-nucleotide small nucleolar RNA. The record is from RefSeq and is a predicted model, not a curated record. NCBI's taxonomy places the organism in Eukaryota, Viridiplantae, Streptophyta, Magnoliopsida, Fabales, Fabaceae.
AAACUAUGUUUGAGGGGCAUCUCCUGAUCAUCUACUUGAAUCUCUCCCAUGCCUCAUAGAGGGACUCUCCCUUUUUCUGUCUAAAGGUCUGGACAUCUACUCUAAGCUU